UUCCACGUCCAGGCUGCUGAGGCCGGCUUCUUUCAGGUAGAACUUGGCCUUGUCCGGGUCAUAGGUGCGCUGUUCCAGCUCAGAGGCGUGGAAAC
RNAcentral lists this transfer RNA (95 nucleotides) under Thalassovita mediterranea. RNAcentral's name for it is "Thalassobius mediterraneus tRNA-Ser". The record is from RNAcentral. Lineage: Bacteria; Pseudomonadati; Pseudomonadota; Alphaproteobacteria; Rhodobacterales; Roseobacteraceae.